GAUGAACGCUGGCGGCGUGCCUAAUACAUGCAAGUCGAACGCAAUACUUCGGUAUUGAGUGGCGAACGGGUGAGUAAUACAUAAGUAACCUGCCCAUUACAGGGGGAUAACUAUCGGAAACGGUAGCUAAGACCGCAUAGGUAAGAUAUAAGCAUUUAUAACUUAUUAAAAAUCCUACGGGAUUGGUAAUGGAUGGACUUAUGGUGCAUUAGCUAGUUGGUGGGGUAACGGCCUACCAAGGCGACGAUGCAUAGCCGGCCUGAGAGGGUGAACGGCCACACUGGGACUGAGACACGGCCCAGACUCCUACGGGAGGCAGCAGUAGGGAAUUUUCGGCAAUGGGGGAAACCCUGACCGAGCAACGCCGCGUGAAGGAAGAAGGUCUUCGGAUUGUAAACUUCUGUUAUAAAGGAAGAACGCUAUAUAUAGGGAAUGAUAUAUAGGUGACGGUACUUUAUUAGAAAGCCACGGCUAACUACGUGCCAGCCGCCGCGGUAAAAC
Molecule: ribosomal RNA, 501 nt
Filed under: uncultured bacterium
Lineage: Bacteria
Description: bacterial SSU rRNA
Rfam family: Bacterial small subunit ribosomal RNA
Source: RNAcentral